AACACAUGCAAGUCGAGGGGAAACGACGUCGAAAGCUUGCUUUCGAUGGGCGUCGACCGGCGCACGGGUGAGUAACGCGUAUCCAACCUGCCCAUCACUUGGGGAUAACCUUGCGAAAGUAAGACUAAUACCCAAUGACGUCUCUAGAAGACAUCUGAAGGAGAUUAAAGAUUUAUCGGUGAUGGAUGGGGAUGCGUCUGAUUAGCUUGUUGGCGGGGUAACGGCCCACCAAGGCGACGAUCAGUAGGGGUUCUGAGAGGAAGGUCCCCCACAUUGGAACUGAGACACGGUCCAAACUCCUACGGGAGGCAGCAGUGAGGAAUAUUGGUCAAUGGGCGAGAGCCUGAACCAGCCAAGUAGCGUGCAGGAUGACGGCCCUAUGGGUUGUAAACUGCUUUUAUAAGGGAAUAAAGUGAGCCUCGUGAGGCUUUUUGCAUGUACCUUAUGAAUAAGGACCGGCUAAUUCCGUGCCAGCAGCCGCGGUAAUACGGAAGGUCCGGGCGUUAUCCGGAUUUAUUGGGUUUAAAGGGAGCGUAGGCCGGAGAUUAAGCGUGUUGUGAAAUGUAGACGCUCAACGUCUGCACUGCAGCGCGAACUGGUUUCCUUGAGUACGCACAAAGUGGGCGGAAUUCGUGGUGUAGCGGUGAAAUGCUUAGAUAUCACGAAGAACUCCGAUUGCGAAGGCAGCUCACUGGAGCGCAACUGACGCUGAAGCUCGAAAGUGCGGGUAUCGAACAGGAUUAGAUACCCUGGUAGUCCGCACGGUAAACGAUGGAUGCCCGCUGUUGGUCUGAAUAGGUCAGCGGCC
This 808-nucleotide ribosomal RNA is filed under the name uncultured bacterium. RNAcentral describes it as "bacterial SSU rRNA". It matches the Rfam family "Bacterial small subunit ribosomal RNA", at positions 50 to 848 of the family's 1533-position model. The record is from RNAcentral.